AUUGAACGCUGGCGGCAGGCCUAACACAUGCAAGUCGAGCGGAUGAAGGGAGCUUGCUCCUGGAUUCAGCGGCGGACGGGUGAGUAAUGCCUAGGAAUCUGCCUGGUAGUGGGGGAUAACGUCCGGAAACGGGCGCUAAUACCGCAUACGUCCUGAGGGUGAAAGGGGGGGAUCUUCGGACCUCACGCUAUCAGAUGAGCCUAGGUCGGAUUAGCUAGUUGGUGGGGUAAAGGCCUACCAAGGCGACGAUCCGUAACUGGUCUGAGAGGAUGAUCAGUCACACUGGAACUGAGACACGGUCCAGACUCCUACGGGAGGCAGCAGUGGGGAAUAUUGGACAAUGGGCGAAAGCCUGAUCCAGCCAUGCCGCGUGUGUGAAGAAGGUCUUCGGAUUGUAAAGCACUUUAAGUUGGGAGGAAGGGCAGUAAGUUAAUACCUUGCUGUUUUGACGGUACCAACAGAAUAAGCACCGGCUAACUUCGUG
Molecule: ribosomal RNA, 484 nt
Filed under: uncultured bacterium
Lineage: Bacteria
Description: partial 16S ribosomal RNA
Rfam family: Bacterial small subunit ribosomal RNA
Source: RNAcentral